RNAcentral lists this ribosomal RNA (398 nucleotides) under uncultured bacterium. RNAcentral's name for it is "bacterial SSU rRNA". It matches the Rfam family "Bacterial small subunit ribosomal RNA", at positions 29 to 419 of the family's 1533-position model. The record is from RNAcentral.
ACGAACGCUGGCGGCGCGCCUAAUACAUGCAAGUCGAGCGAGAAGACGUAGCAAUACGUUUGUAAAGCGGCGAACGGGUGAGGAAUACAUGGGUAACCUACCCUCGAGUGGGGAAUAACUAGCCGAAAGGUUAGCUAACACCGCGUACGCUCCUUGGACUUCGGUUCAGGGAGGAAAGCGAUACCGUGGGUAUCGCGCUCUUGGAUGGGCUCAUGUCCUAUCAGCUUGUUGGGAGGUAACGGCUCACCAAGGCUUCGACGGGUAGCUGGUCUGAGAGGACGAUCAGCCACACUGGCACUGCGACACGGGCCAGACUCCUACGGGAGGCAGCAGUAAGGAAUAUUGCGCAAUGGGCGAAAGCCUGACGCAGCGACGCCGCGUGGGGGAUGAAGGUCUUC